CGGAGGGUGCGAGCGUUGUCCGGAAUCACUGGGCGUAAAGGGCGCGUAGGCGGCCUGAUAAGUAGGGGGUGAAAUCCUGCGGCUUAACCGCAGGGCUGCCUUCUAAACUGUCGGGCUCGAGCACAGUAGAGGCAGGUGGAAUUCCCGGUGUAGCGGUGGAAUGCGUAGAGAUCGGGAAGAACAUCAGUGGCGAAGGCGGCCUGCUGGGCUGUUGCUGACGCUGAGGCGCGACAGCGUGGGGAGCAAACAGGAUUAGAUACCCUGGUAGUCCACGCCGUAAACGAUGGACACUAGGCGUCGGGGGGAGCGACCCUCCCGGUGCCGUCGCUAACGCAGUAAGUGUCCCGCCUGGGGAGUACGGCCGCAAGGCUG
RNAcentral lists this ribosomal RNA (372 nucleotides) under uncultured organism. RNAcentral describes it as "bacterial SSU rRNA". It matches the Rfam family "Bacterial small subunit ribosomal RNA", at positions 526 to 896 of the family's 1533-position model. The record is from RNAcentral.